ACGGAAGGCAGCAGUGGAGAAUCUUGCACAAUGGGGGAAACCCUGAUGCAGCAACGCCGCGUGAAGGAUGAAGGCCCUUGGGUCGUAAACUUCUUUUCUGAGGGAAGAUAAUGACGGUACCUCAGGCAUAAGUACCGGCUAACUACGUGCCAGCAGCCGCGGUAAUACGUAGGGGGCGAGCGUUAUCCGGAAUUAUUGGGCGUAAAGAGUACGUAGGUGGUUUCCUAAGCAUGGGGUUUAAGGCAAUGGCUUAACUAUUGUUCGCCCCAUGAACUGGGUUACUUGAGUGCUGGAGGGGAAAGCGGAAUUCCUAGUGUAGCGGUGAAAUGCGUAGAUAUUAGGAGGAACACCAGUGGCGAAGGCGGCUUUCUGGACAGUAACUGACACUGAGGUACGAAAGUGUGGGGAGCAAACAGGAUUAGAUACCCUGGUA
This 433-nucleotide ribosomal RNA is filed under the name uncultured Anaerovorax sp. Its description in RNAcentral is "partial 16S ribosomal RNA". It matches the Rfam family "Bacterial small subunit ribosomal RNA", at positions 341 to 792 of the family's 1533-position model. The record is from RNAcentral. Lineage: Bacteria; Bacillati; Bacillota; Clostridia; Peptostreptococcales; Anaerovoracaceae.